Molecule: ribosomal RNA, 1893 nt
Filed under: Klebsiella quasipneumoniae
Lineage: Bacteria; Pseudomonadati; Pseudomonadota; Gammaproteobacteria; Enterobacterales; Enterobacteriaceae
Description: bacterial SSU rRNA
Rfam family: Bacterial small subunit ribosomal RNA
Source: RNAcentral
AGAGUUUGAUCAUGGCUCAGAUUGAACGCUGGCGGCAGGCCUAACACAUGCAAGUCGAGCGGUAGCACAGAGAGCUUGCUCUCGGGUGACGAGCGGCGGACGGGUGAGUAAUGUCUGGGAAACUGCCUGAUGGAGGGGGAUAACUACUGGAAACGGUAGCUAAUACCGCAUAACGUCGCAAGACCAAAGUGGGGGACCUUCGGGCCUCAUGCCAUCAGAUGUGCCCAGAUGGGAUUAGCUAGUAGGUGGGGUAAUGGCUCACCUAGGCGACGAUCCCUAGCUGGUCUGAGAGGAUGACCAGCCACACUGGAACUGAGACACGGUCCAGACUCCUACGGGAGGCAGCAGUGGGGAAUAUUGCACAAUGGGCGCAAGCCUGAUGCAGCCAUGCCGCGUGUAUGAAGAAGGCCUUCGGGUUGUAAAGUACUUUCAGCGGGGAGGAAGGCGAUAAGGUUAAUAACCUUGUCGAUUGACGUUACCCGCAGAAGAAGCACCGGCUAACUCCGUGCCAGCAGCCGCGGUAAUACGGAGGGUGCAAGCGUUAAUCGGAAUUACUGGGCGUAAAGCGCACGCAGGCGGUCUGUCAAGUCGGAUGUGAAAUCCCCGGGCUCAACCUGGGAACUGCAUUCGAAACUGGCAGGCUAGAGUCUUGUAGAGGGGGGUAGAAUUCCAGGUGUAGCGGUGAAAUGCGUAGAGAUCUGGAGGAAUACCGGUGGCGAAGGCGGCCCCCUGGACAAAGACUGACGCUCAGGUGCGAAAGCGUGGGNNNNNNNNNNNGUCGCAAGACCAAAGUGGGGGACCUUCGGGCCUCAUGCCAUCAGAUGUGCCCAGAUGGGAUUAGCUAGUAGGUGGGGUAACGGCUCACCUAGGCGACGAUCCCUAGCUGGUCUGAGAGGAUGACCAGCCACACUGGAACUGAGACACGGUCCAGACUCCUACGGGAGGCAGCAGUGGGGAAUAUUGCACAAUGGGCGCAAGCCUGAUGCAGCCAUGCCGCGUGUAUGAAGAAGGCCUUCGGGUUGUAAAGUACUUUCAGCGGGGAGGAAGGCGAUAAGGUUAAUAACCUUGUCGAUUGACGUUACCCGCAGAAGAAGCACCGGCUAACUCCGUGCCAGCAGCCGCGGUAAUACGGAGGGUGCAAGCGUUAAUCGGAAUUACUGGGCGUAAAGCGCACGCAGGCGGUCUGUCAAGUCGGAUGUGAAAUCCCCGGGCUCAACCUGGGAACUGCAUUCGAAACUGGCAGGCUAGAGUCUUGUAGAGGGGGGUAGAAUUCCAGGUGUAGCGGUGAAAUGCGUAGAGAUCUGGAGGAAUACCGGUGGCGAAGGCGGCCCCCUGGACAAAGACUGACGCUCAGGUGCGAAAGCGUGGGGAGCAAACAGGAUUAGAUACCCUGGUAGUCCACGCCGUAAACGAUGUCGAUUUGGAGGUUGUGCCCUUGAGGCGUGGCUUCCGGAGCUAACGCGUUAAAUCGACCGCCUGGGGAGUACGGCCGCAAGGUUAAAACUCAAAUGAAUUGACGGGGGCCCGCACAAGCGGUGGAGCAUGUGGUUUAAUUCGAUGCAACGCGAAGAACCUUACCUGGUCUUGACAUCCACAGAACUUNNNNNNNNNNNNNNNNNNNNNNNNNNNNNNNNNNNNNNNNNNNNNNNGUCGUAGUCCGGAUUGGAGUCUGCAACUCGACUCCAUGAAGUCGGAAUCGCUAGUAAUCGUAGAUCAGAAUGCUACGGUGAAUACGUUCCCGGGCCUUGUACACACCGCCCGUCACACCAUGGGAGUGGGUUGCAAAAGAAGUAGGUAGCUUAACCUUCGGGAGGGCGCUUACCACUUUGUGAUUCAUGACUGGGGUGAAGUCGUAACAAGGUAACCGUAGGGGAACCUGCGGUUGGAUCACCU